RNAcentral lists this long non-coding RNA (17641 nucleotides) under Triticum aestivum (bread wheat). RNAcentral describes it as "long non-coding RNA (TAES_LNC003099)". The record is from RNAcentral. Lineage: Eukaryota; Viridiplantae; Streptophyta; Magnoliopsida; Poales; Poaceae.
GCUGCUUUAGUAGGUAUUCAGCUCUAUUUUCUUCACUCAUUUGAGCAUACCAACCUUGACCCCUUGGUUUUUUCUGGGCCGGUAGAGUAACAUCCGAAAAUUCAGCAAUAUUUGUGUGUGGCGUGCCUCCAUUAUCACUCUGUCCUGUCACAACAACUUCGCACACAACACAUGAGAGCAUAACUAAAUAAUGGAAAACAUCACAAAGUACUACUCCCUCCCGUCCAUAAUAAGUGCCAUAGUUUUAAACUAUAUUUGAUAAAGAAAUACGUGUGUGAAUGAACUAACCUUUUCCAUUCCUAUUUAAGCAAUCAGUAAGAGGAAUCAUUUCGACAACUCCAUCAUUCGCAACUAUAAAUUAGACAAUGUUGUACCUUAGUUCAAAACUGCGACACUUACUUUGGACUGGAGGGAAUAUUUGAUAAAGAAAAACGUGUGUGGAUGAACUAACCUUAUCCAUUCCUAUUUGAGCCAUCUGUAAGAGGAAUCAUUUUGACAACUCCAUCAUUCACAACUACAAAUUAGACAAUGAUAUUAGUUUUGAGGUUUUGUCAGACACAGAGAAUAAUCUCAACCAUGGGUCAGCAAAGUGCACAAACAUGGACCUUUUGCAAACAUGUUUGUUACAUCAGUAAAUGGAGCACGUUCGCUCCUAACCAAUCCGCUAGAUGGUGUAGAUGACUUAGUUUCAUCUUUUUUUAGCCUGGCGUGCUAUUCGUAGUUUCUUUAGGUAUUCCGCUUUCUUCUCACCGGACAGACGAGCAUACCACCCUCCACCAUUGCUAAGAUUAUUCUCCAAAUCAGUACAUGAUUCCGAAUUCUGCAACAAAUGGAUUUUGACUCUUGAUUAGCAAAUAGAGAAUAGAUAUCACCGAAGAGCACUAAAGAAGGUAUCAUAUAGGACGUUAGUUGGCUGUGAGCCCACUCGGAUUCAGAUUUGAAUAAUCCUCUCAUGGAUGGAUUUUGCAAAGUUAAAAAAAGUGAUAGUGCAAAAAAAAUUAUCACCGGUUUUCUGAGAUGGAGAACAUAAAGUAGCACUUUUGAAUUGAAAAAUCUAAUGUACUAUUGGUACACGUUAUGUCAGUUUGUUAGGUAGAUGUAACUUGGCCCCAAAGUUUGUAGAAAGCAAAGCACAUCACACUACUACCUUUUUAAUUAAUCUUUUCCAACUAUUAUUAGUAAUCACCUGCUUCUGGUUAGCACACUCCGAAACCUUUAAUAAUCAGUACAACACAUUCCGAAAGAUCUAACAAUUUGAGGGAGCUAACAAUGACAGUGACAAUUCGGUUUGAAUUUAUUUGGUCAGUACCCGCACCUUCGAAUUAUGUUGAUCGGUCCCAGUGAAUUUGAUCCCCGACUGCAUAUCUUACGUAACACGUCCACUUGCCAGCUCGCUCGUCGACGUAGCCGCUCAGGGCUGUUGAAACAUCUGGCAAAAGAUCAAUAUACAAAAUAUGUUGGAUUCAGAAUGAUAAACCAAUUCAUAAAGGAGCGGGAGCACACGUACGCAAAGCUUCGCUUAAACAAGCAGAGAGGCGGGUUAAUUGAUAUAUUGUAGACAGGGCCGGUACUGAGAAUUCAGGGCCCUGGGGCCCUUCGAGGCUCGUAGUAUAAAUGUGUAAUAGUAAUUAACAUACAUAGGAGACAUGCUCGAGAUCUAACAAUUAGAGGGGAAAGAAGGUUCAUUUAAUAAACACACAAAUAAAAGCAAACACCUCAAUGCAUACUGAGCAAGCUGAUUAAGGAUAUCCGACUGUACCACAGCGACAGCAUUGCCAAGCAAGGAUUCAAGACCAGCUGCGCCAUCGGCCAGUCUCCAUAGGCUGAGGCCAAGAUAUUGCAGCGCGCAUGCACCAUAGUAAGUACGAACUACGGCCUUUAAACAAUAAGGCCGUGGCAUAUGCUACAUGAAAUUAGCAUGUACGAGUAGUUUAAUUGGAAUUAUCAUCAAGUUCGGCAGACCACGCGGCAAGCGUGGUAAAAGCAAUCACAAGUUGACAAAAAAAAUCAUCAAGUUCGGCAGCAAGUAGGCAGUAGGAAUCAAUUGUAAGUAUGGGGCUCUGCUCGUACCACAGUACCACGUACGAACCAGCUGCACCGAUCUUAAUUACUAUUGUUCCGCUUGCGGCGUCCCAUCUUAACUGGAUGGAGAUUACGUGCGUCACUACUAGGAAAAGGCCUACUAAUGGCGCACCGGUUUUGCCUACUAAUGCCGCACUACCGGUGCGCCAUUAGUAGCACGCCACUAGAAUUUUUUACUAAUGGCGCACCACUGGUGCGCUAUUAGUAUCUGGUAUACUAAUGGCGCACCAAGCAGUGCGCCAUUAGUAUGUAACACCAUGCGCCAUUAGUAUGCCUCCCGGGGGGCCAUAUGUAACCAUGUGCUUUGCCAUACUAAUGGCGCACUCUGCCUUGAUGCGCCAUUAGUAUCCUUUGGCAUACUAAUGGUGCACUCUGCCUUGAUGCGCCAUUAGUAUGAAUAUUUGGUUUUUUUUGCUUUUCUGAUUUUUGCAGAGGUUACAAAAUAUAUUAUUGGACAGAAUAUAGAAAUCAGCACACAGCAACAGCAGAUUCAUCGAAUACAAUAGAAGCUUAGUCUCCGAAUACAAUUCAUCAUAUUAGUCUCCGAAUUCAAAAGACCGAACAAAGAUAAAACAUUACAAGUCUCAAGACCGCGAGUAUCGAGUUUGUCUUCACAUUACAAGUCGAUAUCGAUCAUCUAAACUACCAUCACAUAAAAGAGAGUUGUGGUCAUCAUGAUGAGCAUCAUCGCGAUCAAACUGGUCUUCAUCCGGUUCCUCCAACGCUCCCUCCUCUCUCCCGCUAGAUAGCGGGCAUAUCUAGAUUCGACCUCCGCCCUAGUGGUGUACCCUUUGUAACUGUUACCGCUGAAACGGUGAACCUGUCUCCGACACUCCUCCCAGUCAUCGUAGACUCCGGGAACCUUACCCUUGUACACGACAUAUGACGACAUCUCUAUGCACAAGCCAAACAACAGACAACAGACAAUACAUAAGCAAUAUGUAAGUAUGCAACAAAAGGAUCGGAAGAGAAAAGCAAGACAUUAAUAGCACGAUUCAUGAUCCUACGAAUAAAUAGCAUUGAUUACAUCUAAGUUGAAUGACUGUCCAAACCAAAGAGACAUACGAAUUCAUUAAAGUUUAAUUACAACAUGAGCCAAUCAAUGUUUCAGAACUACACAUCACUACUUUCGACUCGACUCAUCGGACAGGAGCGUGGAUGAAGCAGUCGUCUGUCGUGAUGGUCAUGAAAUCGCGGUCGUUGUCACCCUGCAUUUGUAGCAUUCCAUCUAUCUCAUUGUUGGACGGUUGAUAUCUGAGGUAGAACUGCCCCGAGGUAUGAAGGACAUCUUGAUGGAUGAUGUCUGCAAACUCCGACUAGAUGCGAAAGAAUUCUUGUCUAAUGUCCGCGUCCUGGGUUGCCGACAACCUCGCGGCCCAAUCUUUGAGACUAUCUGGUAGCAGAAGUUGAUGAUGGUCCCUUACGAUCGCCCGCAUGUGAUGGAGGGCGUAGUAGGCAUCAUUCUGACCGCCAGGCGGCUGCUUGACGCAGCAGAAAUUCGUAUUGUGUGAGAAGGUGUGCUUGCCAUACUUACGAACUGCCCUGGUGAAGGUGCCUCCAGAUUUGGCGUAGCCUGGGAGAACAUCAUCAAGAACUUUCUUGACAUUUGUGUAGUCUAUCUUGGAGUUACGGUUCGGGUUGAAAUACGUGGCCAUGGAAUAUUUCAGGCUUAAGAGGAUGAGUGUGCAAUGUGUGUCACUUCACAGAACACGGAAUGUUAGAAAAAAAAGAAUGAUCGAAAUCUAAGAAAUCAUAUGUUACGGGGCGGUUAAGGGAUGACUUACUCGGGAAAGUAAGCCACAAGGAAGUUAUCCUUAUCUGGGUUUGCCAGAAUGACGCCUUCGAGGUGUGAACUCGCAACUUGGCGGUCCCCAGCGCUGCUCAAGUGAUUGGCACGCAUGUAGAAGGGGUCGACUAUCACGAUGCCCGGGGUCUUGUCUCUAAUGAUCCACAUCUCCAUACUCAGCGAAAAUAGCCAAACGAAGGUGUAGUGCAGCGGAUGAAGGUUAAACAUAGCAAAGAUGUCAUCAAACCGCGGGACGAUCGUACCCCCGAUGUCACCAUCCACAAAGCCCUUGCCCUCUGGCACCUUGGCCACGAAAACUGGGUAUGCCACAUCAUUCUCUCUGAGACUCCGCUUCUCCAAAGAAAGAACACUGUCGUGCAGACUUCGCAUAGCACCGGUUGCAGCAUUCAGCAUAUUUGGCGGUAGCAUCGCCCUACCCGCCACAUGCACCCUCCUCGAGAUAUCCUUAGGUGAAGGUGGCCCGUCCUGAGCACGGAUCAAACUCGGUGCCGGCUGGCUCGCACCGGCGCCCUUGUUAGUCUUUCGCUUCCGUCCCUUCUUCUUGAUCUCCUGUAAUGGGACCGAGUUUUGCUCACAGACCGCCUUCUUGAGCGUGUUCGGGCUGAUAAUAUUUCGCACCUCAGCUAUCUGAGGCUCGGUGAAGGCGGGAGCUGGAGGCGUGUCCUGAGAACUGAACGCCAGACGACCCCUGUUGCAAUUGGAUUUCUCCGCCGUACCAGCUAGAUCGUGGGCAUCUUGGUUGGGUUCUUGAGAAAGAGGCCCGCAGAACUCGUCAGUGUACCCAUGUUCGGCAAAGUACUUAUCAACUUUGGUAAAUGUACCAUCGUCGUUGUCGUCGCCGUCCAGAUCCUGUGCCAUCGGGAUGUCCGGAUCCUGUGCCAUAAGGAUGUCCGGCAGGUCCAGUAGCGUUGCGGCGUUCUUGCCAAUGCUUGGCGCCGGCACGACUGGUGGUCUUGUUUGUGGGGUGGUGUCCCCCGCCCCCAAACGAAUCUGGCUCUUCGGCCAAAGCAGGGGCUAGUUUACACAGGCGCUGAGGGUCAUCUCAUCUUCUUCAUCGGCCCCAGCGGGUCGAAUCGGAGGUAACAACUCGUCGCAUCCUGGCAGCACCCGAACCACUUCAACCCUAUACACUGUGGGUGCCACCAGAUUACCGUGGAACAUGCGGUUGCCCGGUUGAACGAUUAUGCCCUUGGCGACAUCGACCAACUCGGCGCCCAUGAAGUGCAGAAGAGUGCAAGGAACAUCGGCGUGCCCUGCGAAAACAUGUACAGGGCAUCAGGGAUGCCCAGUCAAAGGCAAGGAGAUGAAGUCAUCUGCCGAGAGGCUUAGUUACCGUGAUGCUGUCGAGCUCGGCUAAUGUCGAGGCACCACCAACGGCGGGCGCGCAACUGACGGAGGGGGCGCUUGCUGGCGAGGUGCCGGUCGGCUUACACCCGGGUGCAUUAAGCUCCAAUGCCCGUGCCGGCGCCGGAGACACGAAUACCGCCUCCGCCGGAGACACCAAUGGCGCCGCCGGAGACACCAAUGGCGCUGCCUGCGCGCUGUGCGAGUUGCUGGCCGUGAAGCUGGGAACCGGGGGAGGCCCCCGUUGGCCGCCUGCAAUCCACGUCGUCAGCCCAUGAAUAAACCUAGGCACCAUGGCGUUGAGCUUCGUUCCCAGUUGUUGUUCCACUUGCUCUUGGAUAAGCUCCGGAAUCCACGCCACUUCUGCCUUGAGUUCUUCAACCUCGCGCGUCUGGCUUUCCGAGCUGGUCUUUUUCUCCUUCCGCACACCAGCGGUAUAGUAUGACCCCCAUUUUCUGGACAAGCCUUUGCCGGCCACACGACCAGCUGACGUCGGCUUAGUGAGCUUAUCCUUCUUUUUCAUUAUGUUCAACGCCCUAUUUAAAGGGGUGUCGAAAGGGGAGCUCUGAGACGACCCCGCGCUACUGCUUUCAGUGUCCUGCGAAAGGAACGUGAACCAUUUAGAAAUAUUGGUGAUUAAUUUGAGUGCAACCAUAUGGAGCUAAUUACGCAGGGGUGUAUUCCUUACCAGAACAAGCUCAAGCGCCCUGGUCUUUGGAUCCGUGGUAAGCUCCUUUGUUAUUGGGUCCUCCUUGUACCGGGCCCAGACAUAGUUCCUGGUCUGCUUGUUACCGCUGUAUUUCUCGAAGCGGGGCGGUAGGCCUUGCUCGGCACGCUCCGCGUCCUCCUUGUCCCAUAUAGGCUCCGCCACUCUGUAACCGUCGGGACCGAGUUUGUGUUCCCCUAAGUUGAACUCCCGCAUUUCUUUCCCCCACUGACUUGAUUCGGAGGUUGCACUGCUCUCGCACUUGAUCUUGAACUCCUUGUACUCAUCUUUGCUCAUCAAAGGAUAUUUCGCCUUGAUCUUCUCAUAACUAUCACCUCUAUCAAUCAUUCUCUUCACCGCGCUUCUCCAAGUAGACAGGGCCGUGCUCAUCUUCGUGAGGGCGGCACUGUUCACUUUAUUCCCUGAGAGGCGUGUGUUAUCAAAUUCGGUGCGGAACUUGUAUCGUUCGUGCAGCUUUGUGAAGAGGAGGUUGCGCAAAUUCCCUUGGUCCUUAUGCCUAGGGUUCUCGGUGUUGAUCGAGACGGUGCUCCGGAGAAUGCACCCGAGCAGAACCGAGUUCCCCUUGACUAUAUGUUUGGGCUCCGUUGGAUUCCCGUCGGAGUCCACUUGAGUGAAUUCCUCCUUGAGGGUGCGGAGCGCAUUCGGGCAUCGGUCCUUCCUUUGCUUCUUCCGUUGGCUGCCAUCUGUGUGUGCACGGCCAUCAUCAGUGGUGGCAUCCUCGGCAGCACCAUCAGUGGUGUCAUCCCCGACGCCACUAGGGGUUGUGUAAUCAGGAUCAGUGUUUUCCGCGGCGUCCUCAUAGCGGUGAGGUUGUUCCUCCAUCUCCUGGGACAGCUCCCAGAAUUGCUUGCCGCCCGAACCACCGGCCUCAUCGUUGUGGGCCAUGUUUCUCUCUAAAUAGGAAAAACGUUUGGUCAAAAAGUUGGUUAUUGUCAAGGAACAAGAUCAUGGUCUCAUCAUUUAGGGUUUGUCGACACCGAGGCACCCUAAAAGCCUAAGCUUUCAUCAUUUAGGGUUUGUCGACGCCGAGGCACCCUAAAAGCCUAAGCAUACAUCAUUUAGGUUCUCAUCGACACCGAGGCAUCUGGGGCAGCCAAGUUAAGUUUUCAUCAUUUAGGGUUUAUCGAUGCCGAGGCACCCUAGGUUGGGCCUAAUCACUUGGCACUAAUCACUUGGCUCUAUUGCCACCUAUGUUGGGUUUAUCAUCUAGGGUUUAUCGAUGCUAAGGAGAAUUCUAAGUUGGGCACAAUCACUUGGCUCUAUUGCCACCUAUGAUUUAAUGCAGCAAGAAUAAAGGGGUAGUUGAUCCUACUUAAUUAAGUACUAAGAUACCCCGGCCCAUGCAUUAGUCGCAAGUACCCCAUAUGUCCUAUUUGUAGCAAAGUCAUGCUAAAAUUCACGGAAAAUUUCAGCAUGACCUUUGCUGAAAAUAGGACAUAUGGAGUACCCGAAUUUGCCAGAACGGAAGUUAAUCAACAUUCCGGCAAACUCAAGGGCCUCUCGGGGUACCUGCAAAUUCAUCACGACACGAUGGUCGGAGACAAAACCCAGCAAACUAGCACCACAAUGUGCCUCUACUUUCAUAUGGAUGAAAAGGCCAUAGACCAUAUGGUCCUUUGCUUUCAUAUGGACAAAAAUCAGUUCAACUUAUGUGAGCUUCCAUUCUAGAUCUAAUAGCAGCAAGUUGUUCACUUGUAGCUGAACUUAUGUGAGCUGCCUUCAAGAAAAGAAAUCUACAGUGGCACAUCUGCUCUCUGAAUACAUUGGCAAGAAACAAAACAACACCUAGUACCAUCCAUCUGCUAUGGCCGUAUCAUGCAGUUUAACUAAGCACUAACAGGUAAUUAUAUAACUGAAAACUUGGCGCGUACGUUUCACUUAGCUUGGGCAAGCAACAUACCUCGUCCUCUUGGUUAGUCCAAACAAGCUGUAUGCUGAGCCUCAACUCACCACCUGCACAUUUUACAGCACCCAUGAAAUGAAAAACUAAACAUAAUUGUCAACCAACAAAACCAAAACACAAACAGGACUGCAAAUUUUCACGAUCAGGAAGAAAAACAGGGUUUUCAACUACUAUAUUCAGUUUCAUGGCAUCAGUUGAACAGUUGAAAAAGAACAAGCUUCAUUUAAAUAUCUUGCUGCUAACAAACAUAACUAAUGUCAGUACUCAAAAAAUAGAGUGAUCACAUAGGGAACAAACAAACUAUUCACUUUUUAUUUCUUCAGAAUUGGACCAGACAGAGAACAACUCCUUGGAAGCAAACUGAAACCAUGCUGAAACUAUACUGAAACCAUGCUGAAACUUUACUGAAACUACUCCUUGCAAUCAAACUAAAACUACUCCUUGGAAGCAAAUUGUCUUGGAAGGAGUAUUGUGUGCACAAAUCUACUCCAACUAGUUGCUUUCACAUAGAAAUUGUUAGCACAAACGGAAUGAGUCAUUCUUCAGACCGUUACAAAAAGAAACAAUGGCAACCAAGGUUAAAAACCAACAAUCCUAUAUAUUAUUCUGAAACUUGAUAUAUUGAAAUCACUUAGCACUCUCUUUAUGUGUUCAUUCAACACUUAAAAUUGAGGAAAAUAAUACCAACUAGGAUCGGUAUGACCUUCGUUUUUCAUUUUCUGUAUGAUCAAUUAAAUCUUCUGCAAGCUUAUAUGAAAAGGUUCAGCAACUUGAAACAUAACUCUUGCUUGGUGUUCCAAAUCAUUUCAUUUAUAUUUUCAAUAACAGUAGGAAUUAUUUCAUAAUAGAAUUUACCCGAUGGGGGCGACGGGUGCAUGCGACCGAGGGGGGAACGGGUGGGGGUGGAGGAGGCUCACCACUAUUGCAAACCAAACAAGUAAGCAGAGCACAUGUAUAUACCUGUAUCACUGUCUUGGAGCCAACAAACGCCUCAGUUUUUCUCCAACCGUGAUGGAACCUGUUACGCGGAAACACAAACAGAGAGAUACAUGUAACUAACGAGGACAGACGGACAAGGUAACAAGAACUCCACAGCUCAAUUAAGCCUAUGCUUCUUCUUUCACUCUCCUGCAUAAAGUUAUUGUUAUACCUGGGAGGGAUUAUAUGCUUGUUUACCACUACUAAUACCAUUUUUAAUAUAAUCUUCAUUCUCCUGCUUUUUCUUUUCUUACAAGUGUUGAUGCCAAAACAUUGCAACCCUGUAGUUCAAGAUCAGAGUCAAAAUUGACCUACACGAUUGUUUACCACUACUAAGACAUGGAUCUAAUAGCUAUCUCCCCCUUGUUCCUCAUGCCUUAGUUGAAUUCAGAGAAGAGAGAGCUCAGAUCCUAGAACAAGGAUCUCUCUAGAAGAUAUGUGUUAACCAAUUUCGGCCAGUAUAACCAACACAAAGCUCCUACUCUCUCAAAUUGCAGAUAAAACAACUUAAUCUACAAUUUGCUAACAUGUUUAAACCAAAACAUUUGCUCAUGAAAAAUAUUCAACCUACAGUUUGUAAACAUUUGCCCUUAGAGGCAUUAUCACAAACACCUAUCAAGCACAAUCCUCUAAAAUCACGGAGCAAGCAAGAAAUAACUAUCAUUAUAUUCCUACAGCAUCAAAUCUACAUCAAGUACUCAUCCACUAAAAAAAUCAGGAAAAAAAUGGAACAGAGGAUGCAAGAGGAAGGAGGGAGGGGGGAUGAGGGAAGAGGGAGGAAGGACGAAGGAGUGGUGGCUACCUGCCUACGGACUGGUCGCCGGCGUAGCUCCAGGCGGCAGUGUUGCUGGGCAGGAGCGCCUGCUCCAGGGAGGGGGGCGCCGCUGGUGGGAGCGGCUGCUUGAUGGGGGGAGGCGCUGCUGGGGUCCUGUACCGGAGGCGGGGCAGCGGAGGGUUCGACCGGCUGGGCGNNNNNNNNNNNNNNNNNNNNNNNNNNNNNNNNNNNNNNNNNNNNNNNNNNNNNNNNNNNNNNNNNNNNNNNNNNNNNNNNNNNNNNNNNNNNNNNNNNNNNNNNNNNNNNNNNNNNNNNNNNNNNNNNNNNNNNNNNNNNNNNNNNNNNNNNNNNNNNNNNNNNNNNNNNNNNNNNNNNNNNNNNNNNNNNNNNNNNNNNNNNNNNNNNNNNNNNNNNNNNNNNNNNNNNNNNNNNNNNNNNNNNNNNNNNNNNNNNNNNNNNNNNNNNNNNNNNNNNNNNNNNNNNNNNNNNNNNNNNNNNNNNNNNNNNNNNNNNNNNNNNNNNNNNNNNNNNNNNNNNNNNNNNNNNNNNNNNNNNNNNNNNNNNNNNNNNNNNNNNNNNNNNNNNNNNNNNNNNNNNNNNNNNNNNNNNNGGCGGUGGCUAGGAACCCUAACUGUCGCGCUCAGGAAGGAGGUUGACGCGGGCGGGGCCGCGGGGGGAGGGGGACGGCGAGGGCGCGGGCGCGGGCGGAGGGGGACGGUGAGGGAGGUGGUGCUCAGCUCGAGGAGGGGGCAUUGGAAGCGAGCACGGCCAGGGACGAUGAGCACGGGGGAAGUGGUGGUCGGUGGUGGUCAGGCGCGGGUGAGAUGAGGCAGGGGAGGGAUUGGGGAUUUUAGUGUGGGGGGAGGCUUAGCAAUGGCGCACCACCCAGGGGUGCGCCAUAAGUACAUCCAUAGCAAUGGCACACCACCGAGGGGUGCGCCAUAAGUAAUUUAAUCUAGCCCGACUUGUCAGGUUAUAUACCACCUAACCCUAUCUACAACAGAACCCGCCCACUAGCCCGAGUGGUCAGUACGCAGCACACACACCAGGAGGUCCUGGGUUCGAUUCCCAGGCUCCCCAAUAUUUUUUAUGCAUUUUAAAUCCUGUUUGAUAUUUAUUUGUGUUUAAAUAUGUUCAAACUUGUUUAAAUCAUAACAGUAAUAUAUUUUUAUAAAAACAUUAAUAAUUUUUUUAAAAAUAUGUUCAAAUUUGUUACUUGAAAAUAUCAUCGUCGNNNNNNNNNNNNNNNNNNNNNNNNNNNNNNNNNNNNNNNNNNNNNNNNNNNNNNNNNNNNNNNNNNNNNNNNNNNNNNNNNNNNNNNNNNNNNNNNNNNNNNNNNNNNNNNNNNNNNNNNNNNNNNNNNNNNNNNNNNNNNNNNNNNNNNNNNNNNNNNNNNNNNNNNNNNNNNNNNNNNNNNNNNNNNNNNNNNNNNNNNNNNNNNNNNNNNNNNNNNNNNNNNNNNNNNNNNNNNNNNNNNNNNNNNNNNNNNNNNNNNNNNNNNNNNNNNNNNNNNNNNNNNNNNNNNNNNNNNNNNNNNNNNNNNNNNNNNNNNCCGGGUGCUCGUCGGUGGUGGUGGAGCGGGGGAGGGUUGCGGUGGGUCGUCGACAGCGGUGGAGCUAGUGGGGGAGGGUGCGGAUGGGAUCGAGAUCGAGAUGGAGGGGGAAUCGAGAUCAAGAUGGAGGGGGAUUGAGAUCAAGUGUCCUCAUGAAUUCAAAAAGUGCCCAUGAAAUUUAAAAAUAUUCAUGAUAUCAAAAAGUGCCCAUGAAAUACAAUCGAGAAAUGAAGACUACGAUUUAAAUACAAUCGAUCUUAGCUAGCUAUCUGUUCACAAUCUUCUUGCCCUUCUUUUUCGCAAAUGGAGUUCUUCUGUGGAACAGACGUCCUUUAGGUAGGGUGGUCCUGCUUCUUCUUGUGGUGUGUGCUGCUACUUCAUCGUCGUUGUCAUGUUCGAUCUUCGGGUCGCCGUACUUGUCGAAGUCUUGCUCAUUGGCUACUCCAUCUAUUCUGAUGAUCUGCCUUUUGCCUCUCCUCACGACAACAUGACUGGGCUUUGACGGGUCGGUAAUGAAGAAGCAUUGGUCCACUUGGGAAGCCAGUACCCAUGGCUCAUUUUUCGUGGUGACGUUUGCGCCCGCGGUCUUGGAUUUAGCUUCGGGUAUAACCAUGGUGGUGAAAUACCGGUCUUCUUUUAGGACGCUCUUGGCCCAUCUGACACGGAACAUCGGGACCUUCUCUCCAGCGUAGCUCAGCUCCCAGAUCUCCUCGAUCCUUUUGUAGUAUCUGUCCUUGUCAUUGCCGGUGUAGGAUUCCAUUGUUACCCCGGAGUUCUGAUAACCAUCGCUCUUCAUGUCCUUGUUCUCGGUGUAGAAUGUGUAGCCGUUGAUAUCGUACGCCUCAUAGGGAAUCAGGUUGUGCUCGGUGCCCUGUGACAAGGCGAAUAUGAGUUGUUCUUCCGCGGAAGAAUCCUCAUGUAAAGGGUACAACAGAAGCUUCUGCUUGAACCAACGCAUGAAACAUGAGUUCUGCUCUUUGAUUAUAUCUCCGUCCAUCCUCUGUUGGCCUCGGUCAUUGCACGUCUUCUCAAUAAAGGUUUUGUGCUCUACCACCCAAGGAUUGACCAUGUCUAUGUGUUGUAGCGCGACUAGGUUUGCUCUUUCAAAGUCGGCGAGUCGACCCUCGAAGUCGACAUGCAUUUCGCGGCGACCCUCGCGGUGACCCCAUCCAGCGAGCCUGCCGAGGUGCCUGUUGACGGGCAGACCAACAGGGUUCUCGACGCCUAGAUAAUUCGUGCAGUAGGAGAUGCACUCUUUGGUCAGAAAGCCACUGGCUAUACUUCCCUCUGGACGUGACAUGUUUCGAACGUAUCCUUUGAUGACACCAUUCAUCCUUUCAAACGGCAUCAUGCUGUGCAGGAACGUCGGCCCGAGUUGGAUGAUAUCCUCCACGAUAUGGACCAGCAGAUGCACCAUAACAUCGAAGAAUGCGAGCGGGAAGUACAACUCAAGCUCGCAUAGUAUCACCACGAUCUCUUCCUGUAGCCUUCUGAGUUGCCUCAUGCCAAUGGACUUCCGAGAGAUGACGUCGAAAAAGUUGCAUAGGCCAAAUAGCAUUUCACGGAUGUGCGCGUCCAUGAUCCCACGGAUUGCAACUGGAAGUAUCCGCGUCAUCAGCACGUGACAGUCGUGAGACUUCAUCCCGCUGAACUUCUGCUUCGCUGGGUUUAGGUAUCUGCUUAUCUUCCCCGCGUAACCGUAAGGAAGUUUUACUCCUAGGAGGCAGGUGAAAAACUGCUCGAUCUCCUCCUGACUUAGAGUGAAGCACACAGGAGGGUAGUCAUUUCCGGUCUUGUUGGCCUUUUUGCCUUUGCGACGACUUUCUGUGUCCUGCUUCGCCUCAUCAUCAUCAUCAUCAUCAUCAUCAUCAUCAUCAUUAGCGUGAAGCUCCUGCCUGAUGCCCAUUGAUUUCAUGUCUGCCCUUGCUUUCAGCCCAUCUUUGGUCCUCUCUGGCUUGUUGAGCAGGGUACCAAGCAGACUCUUGCACACGUUCUUCGUGAUAUGCAUGACAUCAAGGCUGUGAGGCACAUGGUGGAUCUUCCAGUAUGGCAAGUCCCAGAAAACAGACCUCGUUUUCCAAACCUUCAGCAGCGGCUCUGGCGCCUUUCGCUUCUUUCCCGGCUCUGGCGCCUUUUGUUUCUUUCCUGGCAGUGGGCAGUCUUCCCAAUUUUUCAACAGCUCGUCUAUUUCCUCACCGCUCCUCGUACACGGGCAUUUUCAGGGUUCGGUUUCACCAUCGAACAGAUCCUUGCGUUUCCUCCACUGGUCAUCAUCGCGAAGCCACCUUCAAUGUCCCAUGAGCACGGUUUUCGAAGACCCGGGAUAUCUAUCUAGCUGGCGAUACGUUGUGUCAUCCAUGCACCUUAUGCAUCCAGAAAAUCCGUGGACUACCUGCCCCGCGAGAUAUCCGUAACCGAGAUAGUCGUGCACCGUCGUGAGCAGUGCGGCUCUCAUAGGGAAAUAUUCUUUCUUUGCAGCGUCCCACGUAUUGGCUGGCGUUUUCCACAGCGUGUCUAGCUCCUCCUUCAGCAGCCCCAGAUACAGAUUGAUGUCGUUCCCUGGUUGUUUCGGCCCUUCAAUUAGCAUACUCAUGUGAAUGUACUCCCUCUUCAUGCACAACCAGGGGAGAAGGUUGUCCAUCCACACAAACACAGGCCAAGUGCUAUGUGUGCUUCUCUGGCUGCCAAACGGAUUGACUCAUCGGUGCUCGCGCCCAGCACGAUGUUCCUUGGAUCCUUCCCAAAUUCUGGGUAUUCGAAGUUCAACGCUUGCCACUGGCUCACAUCCUUCGGGUGACUCAGCAUCUUGUCUUUUUUAUUUAUCUCCGGAUCAUUUCCGUCAUCUUCCCGCUUCUUCUCCUCCCUAUCCGCGUGCCAACGCAGGAGCUUUGCUACCUUAGGGUCCGCGAAAUACCGCUGUAGACGAGGAGUGAUCGGAAAGUACCACACUGAUUUUCGAGGAGCUUUCUUCCUCUUCUUGUAUCGAGUGACGCCGCACACCGGACAUAUGGUAGACUCCGCGUGCUCGUCCCAAUAAAUGAUGCAAUUGUUCAUGCACACAUGGUAUUUCAUGUGCGGUAAAUCCAUAGGACACACGAUUUUCUUCGCCUCCUCGAAACUGGUCGGGCACUUGUUCCCCUUGGGAAGACGUUCGUGCCAGAAUGACAUGUUCUCGUCGAAGCAUGCGUCGGUCAUUUUGUGUUUUACCUUCAUCUCCAGAGCCAUGAGCGUUACUUUUAGGCGGGUAUCCUCGGGCAUGCAUCCUUCAUACAAUGGACUAACCGCGUCUAUCUCCAGUUGAUCCAGCUUGGCUUUCUCUUAGGCGGCAGCUCUUGCGUUAUCCGUCUGCUUGAGAAGCAGCUCUUGAAUAUGAGGGUCCUGCACCCAGCCUCCAUCGUCGUUUGCUCCGGCAUCUUCAUCUUCAUGAUCAUGCCCUUCGUCUUGAUCUUCCUCAUCAUCAUGUACGACAUCUUCUACAUGAUGACUGUGUACAGCAUCACCGCCGUGAUCAUGUCCUGGAGAUUCUUCGUCUUCUCGCCCACCCUCGCCGUGGUGGUACUUGUCUUGUUGCCCUUCCUCAUUUCUUGCCCGCCCCCCAUGGACGACUUCAUAGUUAUCUUCAUCACCUUGCAAGAGCAGGUGGUCCCGCACCUGCCCGGAAUCCGGGUCCGCAAUAAGGCUCUUCAGCUUGCAUCUUCGACAUGGACAUCUUAUCUCCGUCUCGUUCUUUUGAAGCAUCUCGGCCUUCACAGAGCUCAAAAACCUAUUCACGAUGCCUUCGGUCAUCGUGCGGACCAUGGUGGCCUGCGGGGUAGAGCAAAACGAUAUUUUAGAACCAAGAAAAAAUUUGGCAUGACCUUCCCUAAAAAUAAGACCAAAAAGAAUGCAUAGUGCCAAAGUUCUCGCCGAAACAGAAAUGAAUCAACAUUCCGGCAAAAUUUUGGCAACUAUCGCAUUUCAAAUACCGGUACCUGCAAACACAAACAUAUAUGCAACACCACAAACACAUGCAACACCACAAACAUACAUAGAUCUAGCUAGGCCACAAAAAGUGCAUGUGCACGUUGUUGGAGCGAGCUAGGGAGAAAAAAAGUAGAUCUACAUCAUGAAGAUAGCUUUCCCCUUACUUACCUAUCAAAAAAGAUAAUUUCACCACUUAAUUUUGAUGAAUCUAUGGUGGAAAUGAGGUGAGGAGGAGGAGGCAGCCGAAAGCUUGGAGAAGGAGGUGGAGGGAAUGAAGUGGGGAAAGUGAGUGGGUAGGUAUGUGGCUGUCCAAAAUAUCUUGUUGGGGUCCCAGGUUACUAAUGGCGCACCACCAGCAAAUGCGCCAUUAGUAACCCAGGUUACUAAUGGUGCACCUGCAGGUGGUGCGCCAUUAGUAGUUUUGCAGAAAAGUAAAAAAAAUAUAUAUACUAAUGGCGCACUGUGGAAAAGUGCGCCAUUAGUAGUUUAAACUAGUAAUGGCGCACUGUGGCACGGUGCGCCAUUAGUAGUUUUGCAAAAAAGUAAAAUAUAUAUAUAUAUAUACUAAUGGCGCACUGCCUACCAGGUGCGCCAUUACUAGUUAGAGCUAGUAAUGGCGCACUACGACCCGAUGCGCCAUUAGUAUGUAUGGAAAAAUGAAAAAAAAUUAAUACUAGUGGCGCACCGAGUGUACGGUGCGCCAUUAGUGUCUUCCACGCUAAUGGCGCAUCAACAACCGGUGCGCCAUUAGUAUAUAGUAGUGGCGCACUGCUUACCUGGUGCGCCAUUAGUAUCAAUCCUAUCUAUAGCCCUUUUCCUAGUAGUGCGUGGUGUACGAAUUUGCAGGCCCGGAUCGAUCAGGUGGAUCCUUAGCAGGAGGUAUGUCCAAUCUCCCCGCAUCGAGCAGGCGUUUAAAUGGAGUUGCGAUGGGAUCAAGCUUUAAUUACUUGACUGGCGCUGAUCAUUCAUUUUGUUCCAUGAAAAUGGAUUUGAUCAAGGAUGAAUUGAUGGUCGAUCUCUGAACCCCACUUCCAGACAAGUUUGAGUAAUUAACAGUACAUGCAAAGGCAUAGGGCGCUUGGCGUGACUGUGUAAGGACACAUGCUCGUACCUGUCUUGGCUGCGUAGCGCUGCAGGCCCACGUCGCCGUUGUUCCUCCGGACGAGAAGACCGGGAGAGUCAAACCAAAGUCGAGCCGUCGAAGACGAUGAACACUCAAACAAGUGAACGAAAAGAAGGAAUUGACGGAAGUCAAGAACGAUGGGAAUCAAGGUCAGGGUCCGAACAAACAGGGAAACAAGUGAUUUGGUUUCCAAGUUAUUCUCUGCCUACAUGCGAACGUGGCCAGGCCUUUUUCUUUUUUCCUUCUAUGUACGCAGUACACAAGGCUGGGUUUCAAAAAAAAUGAUGGCGUAGAUCAUGAUAAUUACUGCUAAUUGAUAUCUUCCUUCUAUGUACGCAACACCCAAGGUUGAGUUUAAAAAAAAUGAUGGCAUAGAUCAUGGUAAUUCUUGCUAAUUGAUAUGAUUAAAAUAGGCCCAGGUUGGAGCGAGGUCGUGGUAAUUAUUGCAUAAUUAUGAUGGCAUCGAUCAUGGUAAUUAUUGCUAAUUGAAUAUGGUAAAUGAUGUGAUACAACAUUAAGGCAAUCUGGUCCAUUGAGAGAUGUGGGAUGUGUGGCUGAGAUGUAAUUUCAACAAGAAGAAUUAUAUAUAUUUAUAGCUAUACAACAAUAUAGAGUUGCGGGUGAUACCAGGUGUUACAAGCGCUGCGGCCGAGUCAUUGUUUUCCGAGUUAGCCGUGUCUCGUUUCUUUGACGUGCCUGUGGCUGCUUAAAUAGGUAUUCGGCUCUCUUUUCUUCACUCAUUCGAGCAUACCAACCUUGAACCCUUGGUUUUUUCUGGGCCGGUAGAGUAACAUCCGAAAAUUCAGCAAUUUUUGUGUGUGGCGUGCCUCCGUUAUCACUCUGCCCUGUCACAACAACUUCGCACACAACACAUCAGAGCAUAACUGAAUAAUGGAAAACAUCACAAAGUACUACUCCCUCCCGUCCAUAAUAAGUUUCACAGUUUUAAAUUAUAUUUGAUAAAGAAAUACGUGUGUGAAUGAACUAACCUUUUGCAUUCCUAUUUAAGCCAUCAGUAAGAGGAAUCAUUUUGACAACUCCAUCAUUCGCAACUAUAAAUUAGACAAUGUUGUACCUUAGUUUAAAACUGUGACACUUACUUUGGACCGGAGGGAAUAUUUGAUAAAGAAAAACGUGUGUGGAUGAACUCACCUUUUCCAUUCCUAUUUGAGCCAUCUGUAAGAGGAAUCAUUUUGACAACUCCAUCAUUCACAGCUACAAAUUAGACAAUGAUAUCAGUUUUGAGGUUUUGUCAGACACAGAGAAUAAUCUCAGCCAUGGGUCAGCAAAGUGCACAAACAUGGACCUUUUGCAAACGUGUUUGUUACAUCAGUAAAUGGAGCACGUUCGCUCCUAACCAAUCCGCUAGAUGGUGUAGAUGACUUAG